AACGAACGCUGGCGGCAUGCCUAAUACAUGCAAGUCGAACGAUCACUUCGGUGGUAGUGGCGCACGGGUGCGUAACGCGUGGGAAUCUGUCCUUGGGUUCGGAAUAACAGUUGGAAACGACUGCUAAUACCGGAUGAUGACGUAAGUCCAAAGAUUUAUCGCCCAAGGAUGAGCCCGCGUAGGAUUAGCUAGUUGGUGAGGUAAAGGCUCACCAAGGCUACGAUCCUUAGCUGGUCUGAGAGGAUGAUCAGCCACACUGGGACUGAGACACGGCCCAGACUCCUACGGGAGGCAGCAGUAGGGAAUAUUGGACAAUGGGGGCAACCCUGAUCCAGCAAUGCCGCGUGAGUGAUGAAGGCCUUAGGGUUGUAAAGCUCUUUUACCCGAGAUGAUAAUGACAGUAUCGGGAGAAUAAGCUCCGGCUAACUCCGUG
This 433-nucleotide ribosomal RNA is filed under the name uncultured bacterium. RNAcentral describes it as "bacterial SSU rRNA". It matches the Rfam family "Bacterial small subunit ribosomal RNA", at positions 29 to 507 of the family's 1533-position model. The record is from RNAcentral.